This 908-nucleotide long non-coding RNA is filed under the name Phoenix dactylifera (date palm). RNAcentral describes it as "long non-coding RNA (PDAC_LNC003178)". The record is from RNAcentral. Lineage: Eukaryota; Viridiplantae; Streptophyta; Magnoliopsida; Arecales; Arecaceae.
CUGGGUCCAAAAUUAGGACUCGAACAUGCAACCGGGUCGGAUCGGGGUCAUCUAGGACCCGACCCGACCCGACCCAUUUGCAGCCCUAGUGCCUGUUGGACUGAUAGAUAAGAGCCACAACCUACGAGGCCCAGAGCCGGCCCAACUCUCCGCCUCGGCCCGAUUUCAGCGUGAGGUCCACCAAGUUCUCACUUCUCCUUACUUAGGGUUUAGGUUUGUCAUUUGUGCGCCGCCCGAGCUCUAUUCCCUCCCUCUCUCAGUGUCUCUUUCCCCUCUCCUCUCCUCCGGAUUCUUCGCCUCCCCGUCGAAUCCUCUGCUUUACCGAGGUAAGAAAGAUCCAUCUUUUCCUCUUUCUUCCCUUGAUCUUUCCUCUAUUCUUCUCUUUCUUUUCUCUGUUCCUCCCUUCUUCUACUCUCUGUGGGGUUUAUCCUAGCUUCUUCUUGCAGAUCGUUAUCCCCACCUGAACAGAGACCCCUCGUCUCCCUCGACACGUACUCCCAUACCCCCGAUCUGGCAGGUUAAUUACCAGCCAUCGAGCCUCCAUCUCGCUCUCUCGGAUUCCAUCCACGAUGAAUCCGUGCCCUAAACCUAAAUCCACCUCCCGAGAUCUCAUCCCAUCUCUAACCUCCGCUGUUCCAUUCUUUCUCGGUUAAAAGAAAGCGGAAAUAGGAGGGUCAGUCGGUUCCCACCGCCAGUUUGUUUUUUCCAAUUCUUGUUCCGACCGGCAAAUCCGCCGCUCUUUUCUUCUUUUCAUCACCCGCAUCUCAAUUUCUCGUUGUUUUCCCCUUUCCAUUUUGUCUUUUCUUUUCAUCACCAGCUUCUGUUAUGUAUCAGUUCCGAAUUCUAAAUCUUAGUCUUUAGCAAUUCAUCUUAGCAAAUAUAGUUUGCAAAUUUGAAUAGGCACUGGG